This 1524-nucleotide long non-coding RNA is filed under the name Cyanistes caeruleus (blue tit). RNAcentral describes it as "lncRNA (ENSCCEG00000017482.1)". The record is from RNAcentral. Lineage: Eukaryota; Metazoa; Chordata; Aves; Passeriformes; Paridae.
CUCUUCCUGUGAUUUACAAAGAAGCUCAUUGCAUUUGUUCUCUUGUCUUCCUUUGAAACCCAAAAUGAUCAGGAUUUACUUUUUUUUUUUUUUGUCUUUUUAAUUUGAUGCGUUCAGUCUCACCCUGUUUUAUCACACCACAAUAACAAAGACAGACAAGUACAUUUCAUUUCUUCUUCUACUGUUUCUGUUCACAGCAUGUUCAGUAAAUGGAAAUUGAAAUUUUAAGUCUUGGAAGUUUUGUUUGUUGAUAAGCCUAGUUUGAUGACAUUCUUGCUCUAGAAAGCAAUAAUACCAAUCCUUACUAUUGAAAAGAAAGGUUUCUUUCUUUAUCUAUGGAUACAUAUAUUUUUGCAUGUUAUGAACAUCUUUUAUCAUAUCAUUUGUUUGUCCUCUUCUAGUUUAGUGCAGUCUGAAGAUUUCAUGAUGGACUCCAUCCCACUGCUGAGUGGAGAUUUCUUCUCCUCAGACAGAAGACAUAAAUUUGACACCAACCAAGAGAAAAUUAGAGACUCCCUUGAGAAACGCAUGGAAACGUGGAGCUGGUAUUGCUUGGAAAGGAAACAUGGGUAGCAUGGAAAAUAUUUUACAACAACGUUUUACAGCUCUGUAUUGCUCUGAAGGCAGCCGACGUUUUUCCUAGUUAAAAAAAAAAAAAAAGCAAGCAGAUUGAAGGGGCAUUGAGGUCAACCUGGAUAUGUGAACACCAGGGCCACAGCACUCAGCACAGCUCAGCUGGGUGAAAGGCUCUGCCACGCGUUGCCCGAGGACAUCCCUGCUUGCAGCAGCUCCCCUUCCUGCUCAUGCCCCUCUGAAAUCAGACAUAUGGCAUUAAUGGAGCCAAAGCAUGGAUAGCUUCCACUCAGCACACACUGCUUUCCCCUGGGAGCAGUCCUCAGUUCCUCCUUUCUCUUUUAAUCUGCCGGCUUUGUGUUUGCCCCGAGAUGUGCGCUGGGGCAGCCCUGCACGGCAAAACCUGUUUCUGUGGGUGUUGAGGAGCAAGCGAGAGCACAGGAGUGCAGAGAACUUGAUUUGCAGUGAAACCACUUGGUAGAGCAACCCAGCACGAUUUGAAUGCGGCUGACGUGCAAAUCAUUAUAAGCUGUGACAGAGAAUGGUUUGUUUUUUUUUUUUGCAUAUCACAAACCCACAAAUCCGUCGCAUCUAUGCAGAUCCACAUACUGCUUCUCCGAGGCAGGCUGAUGGGGCCAGACAGUCCUGUGAGCUGAGGUGAUGCUCUGUGGGCAGGGGGGACCACCCCAGAGCUGCCUGGGGGUGUCUAGUGCCCUGUGCCGAGCUGUGUAGGUGACAAAACUCCAUCUGCAGACGACAUCCAUUUGCGCCAGCAGCGUUCCGCAAAUGUGGGCGGGUGGCAAAUGUAGGGAGGGCAGUUCUGGGGGAACUUCGGUUUUGUGCACAUCAGCCCCAAAUGUUGCAAAAUCCCAAGUAACUGAAGCUACCGCAGAGCGGGAGAGGAGUGACAGGAAAUCCUCCUCUUGAGGAAAUGAAUUUGUUUGGUGUGGG